Molecule: ribosomal RNA, 253 nt
Filed under: uncultured bacterium
Lineage: Bacteria
Description: partial 16S ribosomal RNA
Rfam family: Bacterial small subunit ribosomal RNA
Source: RNAcentral
UACGGGGGGGGCAAGCGUUGUUCGGAAUUACUGGGCGUAAAGGGCUCGUAGGUGGCCAACUAAGUCAGACGUGAAAUCCCCAGGCUCAACCUGGGAACUGCGUCUGAUACUGGAUGGCUUGAAUUCGGGAGAGGGAUGCAGAAUUCCAGGUGUAGCGGUGAAAUGCGUAGAUAUCUGGAGGAAUACCUGUGGCGAAGGCGACCCCCUGGUUGGAUACUGACGCUGAGACGCGAAAGCGUGGGGAGCAAACAGG